This 2261-nucleotide long non-coding RNA is filed under the name Pan troglodytes (chimpanzee). Its description in RNAcentral is "long non-coding RNA NONPTRT010268". Lineage: Eukaryota; Metazoa; Chordata; Mammalia; Primates; Hominidae. The record is from RNAcentral.
UGCUUUGAUCUUGGACUUCCCAGCCUCCAGAGCUGUGAGAAAUAAAUUUCUGUUGUUUAUGAGCCACCCAGUCUAUGGUAUUCUGUUAUAGCAGCCUGAUCAGACUAAGACAAAUAGUUUUUACAUUUUAAAAUGACUAGGAAAAAGGACACUGAAGAUUAAUAUUUUGUGACACAUGGAAGUGAUAUGAAAUACAAAUUUUGCUGUCUGCAAAUAAUGUUUUAUGGGAACAUAGCCACACUUAUUCAUUUAUGUGUUGUCUUUGGCUGCUUUGGAGCUACAUCAACAGUUUAGUGGUUGUGACAGAGACUGUAAGACUUGCAAAGCUUCACAUGUUUACUUUAACAGAAAGAGUUCACUAACCCCUAGCUUUAGAGAACAACAGCCUUUUAUUAUCUCCCAUGACUCUGUGGGACAUUGGCUCAGGUGGUGUGGCUGGGGUGGUAGAUGUCUGGAAGCUCUUAGAUCUCUGGAGGCUGGAACAUCCAAGGUAGCUCUCUCACGUGGCUGGCAGGAGCUGCUGGCUGUAGCUGUGGCCCCGGCCCUCUUCUAUGUAGCUGCUCCACGUGGCUUAGGCUUUUCCCAGUGGGUGGCUGGGUCCAGGAAGGAGCAUCCCAGUGUGCUGCACCAUCAAACCUCUGCUUGCAUCACACUUGCUGAUGUCCUGUUGUCAAUCACAUGCCAAAACCUGAGUCAACUUGGGAGGCCACUGCAAAGGGGGUGAAAACUGUAAGUGUGGCUCACUGGGGCUGCCCAAGUGACAUCCACCAACUGUCUUACAAUAAAGAUCCGGCAAUUAAUGAAUUCUCUGGAUAGAAGACUUUUAUCCCAAUAACAGUCAACACAAACACAAAAUCUGAAGAAACAGCUGUGCAUUCACAAACCUGGACAGAGUGUUGUCUAUCCCUCCUUAGCACUGGUCCACUCUGGCCAAGGUAGGAAUCCCACAGAGUGGUCUUAGCCAUUUGCCUCUUUUCCUGAGUCCUCAUCCCCUGUCUGUUAUUGGUCAUGUAUAACUUUGGGUUGGCUGCCUGAGUUUCAGAGUGUUCCUUCAGCCAGCCCUUGUACUGUAAAUCUCCAAAGUCCAGUGUGUUCUGAGGGCUUUGGCCCCCAUCCAGCAUUACCACGCAAGUCUUGUUUUAAGCAAGGAUGUCCUGAAAUUGCCUAAGGCCCUUUUGCAAAGCUGGACUUGACAUUGGGUCUCUAUAGCUCUUCAAGAGUCAACAGACUGAGAGCUAGAACAUUUGCAAGGGGCUGCAGCCCAGUCUGUGCACAGACCCAUGAGGGCUGGAACUAGGGGGCAAUGAUAGUGUCCCCUGCUGCUUUCAGGCCCACAGCCAGCCCCUUCCUCCUGUCUCUAGCUCUCACUCAAGACUUUUCCCUCUUUUUAGCCUAAGUCAAGUUGUCCCUUUCUCCAUCUCUUCCUAUCUUCCACCUGUCUCUCCCCAUUGAUGGAGGAACGUGCCCUUGUUAGGAAGUUGUUACUGCAUCCCAACAGCCUCAGGCAAACCUUGGGCUGCAGUCAUGGGCUUCAAGUCUAGCAGGUACAAGAGUCUGGAGUUGGCACCCGUAAUCUACAGAGGGAGGCCCAUCAGGACUUCGGUCUUGAUCUCAGUGGGCUCCAUCCUCGUCUCUAACCAGCCUCAUAUAGGCAGCAGGGCUGCAGUGGCAGUGAUGUUUAUGGAAGGACCCAUUAUUCCCAAACACAUCUUUGGGGAAUUCCCUUACCGUUAGAGAAAUGGGACUUCUAGGUGUCUGGAAUUUGAACAUGGGGAAUUUGAGAGCAUAGACGAUCUCUGCCUCUGACCUCCCUCUUUUCUGGGGAAAUGUGUUCUUUGUCCUCAGCCUGCUGGUGCAGCCCCUCCCAGGAAUCCCUGCCAGUGUGGGUCAUGGAGAUUGUGACUCAGUGGCAGAUUUCCCUUUCAGAGGAAGAAGCCAUUCUAACCGGCAGAAAAUGUUGCUGCAAUUUUCAGUAAAAUUAAGGGACAUGGCAAAUUCUCAGAGGGUGCCAGGCAGGAAAGGUAGGGUAGUGGCAGGGGACAGGGGGUGGUACUGGAUAACUAAAGCUGAGCCUCCCCAUGGCAAGCCCUCGUGCUCAGCCUCUGUUUUCUCCUUGCAGGCCACCUCAAUAGCAGAAGUACUCUGCCUGACUGCAUACUUUGGCAGACUGGUACAUUUUGCAAAAGUCACUCCUCAAAUGGUUUUCUGGAAGGAUACAAAAGACAUCUGCACCAUGCUGACCUUGAUCGAUCUGAUUAUCU